Pelobates cultripes (western spadefoot toad) is the source of this 206-nucleotide non-coding RNA. The record is from the annotation of a GenBank genome assembly. Lineage: Eukaryota; Metazoa; Chordata; Amphibia; Anura; Pelobatidae.
AGAAAGAAAAGAGAAAAACAAUCAUUCAAAAAAUUGCAGUAGUUAGUGUUUAGACUCCCAAUGUUGGGAGCUAUGGCCCUGGGACAGGAGUGGGCAGGGAAGGAAGGGGGCAGUGAUUUGGGAAGACCAACGCAGAAAGAGGGGCAUACCUAUCAUCCAAAAAUGGGCAUGUUAGUCUGGCAUUCAUGCCAGGUUACCUGAUCACC